RNAcentral lists this ribosomal RNA (301 nucleotides) under uncultured bacterium. RNAcentral describes it as "partial 16S ribosomal RNA". It matches the Rfam family "Bacterial small subunit ribosomal RNA", at positions 509 to 807 of the family's 1533-position model. The record is from RNAcentral.
CAGUCGCCGCGGUAAUACGAAGGGGGCUAGCGUUGCUCGGAAUGACUGGGCGUAAAGCGUGCGCAGGCGGUUUGUUAAGACAGAUGUGAAAUCCCCGGGCUUAACCUGGGAACUGCAUUUGUGACUGGCCGGCUAGAGUAUGGCAGAGGGAGGUGGAAUUCCACGUGUAGCAGUGAAAUGCGUAGAUAUGUGGAGGAACACCGAUGGCGAAGGCAGCCUCCUGGGCCAAUACUGACGCUCAUGCACGAAAGCGUGGGGAGCAAACAGGAUUAGAUACCCCAGUAGUCCCUGUCUCUUAUAC